Molecule: transfer RNA, 63 nt
Filed under: Ixodes confusus
Lineage: Eukaryota; Metazoa; Arthropoda; Arachnida; Ixodida; Ixodidae
Description: tRNA-Phe
Source: RNAcentral
UUUCUCAUAGUUUAUAAGUAAAAUGUUACACUGAAAAUGUAAAGAAAUAUUUUUUUGAGAAGA